CACGUAGGGUGCGAGCGUUGUCCGGAAUUAUUGGGCGUAAAGAGCUCGUAGGCGGUGUGUCGCGUCGGCCGUGAAAACUUGCAGCUUAACUGUGGGCGUGCGGUCGAUACGGGCAUCACUGGAGUUCGGCAGGGGAGACUGGAAUUCCUGGUGUAGCGGUGAAAUGCGCAGAUAUCAGGAGGAACACCGGUGGCGAAGGCAGCUCGCUGGGACGUUACUGACACUGAGGCGCGAAAGCGUGGGGAGCGAACAGG
RNAcentral lists this ribosomal RNA (254 nucleotides) under uncultured bacterium. RNAcentral's name for it is "partial 16S ribosomal RNA". It matches the Rfam family "Bacterial small subunit ribosomal RNA", at positions 524 to 776 of the family's 1533-position model. The record is from RNAcentral.